Molecule: ribosomal RNA, 344 nt
Filed under: Clostridioides difficile
Lineage: Bacteria; Bacillati; Bacillota; Clostridia; Peptostreptococcales; Peptostreptococcaceae
Description: partial 23S ribosomal RNA
Rfam family: Bacterial large subunit ribosomal RNA
Source: RNAcentral
UCGCCCAUUAAAGUGGUACGCGAGCUGGGUUCAGAACGUCGUGAGACAGUUCGGUCCCUAUCCGUCGCAGGCGUAGGAAAUUUGAGAAGACCUGUCCUUAGUACGAGAGGACCGGGAUGGACGUACCUCUGGUGUACCAGUUGUUCUGCCAAGGGCAUGGCUGGGUAGCUAUGUACGGAAUGGAUAAGCGCUGAAAGCAUCUAAGCGCGAAGCCAACUUCAAGAUAAGAUUUCCCACCGCAAGGGUAAGACCCCAGAAAGACUAUCUGGUUGAUAGGUCGAAGGUGUAAGUGCAGCAAUGUAUUUAGCUUAUCGAUACUAAUAGGUCGAGGACUUGACCAAAUU